ACUCAAAUGAAUUGACGGGGACCCGCACAAGCGGUGGAACAUGUGGUUUAAUUCGAUGCAACGCGAAGAACCUUACCUGGGCUUGACAUCUACGGAACCUCUGUGAAAGCAGGGGGUGCCUUCGGGAGCCGUAAGACAGGUGGUGCACGGUUGUCGUCAGCUCGUGUCGUGAGAUGUUGGGUUAAGUCCCGCAACGAGCGCAACCCUCGUGGUCUGUUGUUACAGGUAGAAAUAUGCUGAACCCUCAGGCCAGACUGCCGGUGAUAAACCGGAGGAAGGUGGGGAUGACGUCAAAUCAUCACGCCCCUUAUGUCCAGGGCUACACACGUGUUACAAUGGGUACGGGACAAUGGGUUGCUUGGCAGCGAUGUCCGGCAAAUCCCCUAAACCCGCCCUCAGUUCGGAUCGUAGUCUGCAACUCGACUACGUGAAGUCGGAAUCGCUAGUAAACGCAGAUCAGCACGCUGCGUUGAAUACGUUCCCGGGUCUUGUACACACCGCCCGU
Molecule: ribosomal RNA, 505 nt
Filed under: uncultured bacterium
Lineage: Bacteria
Description: partial 16S ribosomal RNA
Rfam family: Bacterial small subunit ribosomal RNA
Source: RNAcentral